Molecule: long non-coding RNA, 491 nt
Filed under: Cucumis sativus (cucumber)
Lineage: Eukaryota; Viridiplantae; Streptophyta; Magnoliopsida; Cucurbitales; Cucurbitaceae
Description: long non-coding RNA (CSAT_LNC000639)
Source: RNAcentral
GAAGAUGCUACUUGACAAGCUCAAGGAUUACAAAGGAGAGCAUUUGGAAGUGGUAAAGGAAGCUUCUGCCUUUGCUGGGGAGGCAGUAAAAAACAACCAUGACCUCAUUCUUCCUCCAUAUCCAAGUCGCUCCCCAUAUCCUCUUCACCUAGACAAUGACCAUUUAUCACCAUUCGUGUCUACUCGCAAAUCUGCCCGUAAUGGGGUAACCUUGAGCUACAUGACAAAUGAUGCCAAAAGGGAGUCAAGUGAGUCAUUAAGUACCAGCAAAGAAGUGAGCACGAAAAACACAAGGAAUAGAUUUGGUUCACUCAUAACUGCAGCAGCCAAGGCAGUGUUUACCAUUGUUGGUGUUGUGUCUAUAUUGAGCAUGUCUGGUUUUGGGCCACGGAUUGUAGCAAAGAAAGCUUCUCGUUUGAAGAAUUCCAGUGCAUACAAACAAGGAUCGACUGAAGAAGAGAGACCGAGAACUCAAUGCCCGCCGGGAAAAA